GCCAACUCCAAGGAUGAUCUAGGCCUGGGAGGGAGCUGAGAUGGUCAGUCCACCAGCUGCCCUGAGCCCACACCACCCGGGCUCGUUCUCCAGCACUACCCAGCUAGCUCACCCACUACUGCAGCCAGCAAGGGGCAGGGGCAGCUCUCUUGCUCCCCUGUUCCUGGGCUAGCUCAUCUGCAUCUUCGACACUAGGAUCAGCCCUACUGUGCUGCCCAGACAAAGUGCAUACCUCCUCUCUCAAGUGCUGUAGCCAGUCUGAGCCGUACAAGAGCCUAUUUGGGAAAACAAAGAAACAAACAAACCCACCAGACUGGAGAGAUGGCUCUCUCAGAGGACCAGAGUUCAUUUCCCAGCAACCAAUGUGCAUCAGUUGACAACUCCUGCAUCUCCAGUUCCAGGGGACCAACAUCAUCUGCUGGCCUCCUUGGAUAUCUGCAGCCACAUGUACAUACCCACAAACACAUAAACUUAAUCAAAAAUAAACUUGUCUCUCUCUCUUUUCUUAAAGGAACACAAAUGAGAGUAUUAACAAUAGUUGCUAUGUCUAGGACUGUUGUGAGGUUCAACAGCCCUGUGUAGUAGUCUUUCCUCACUGUCUGCUGCUGUUACUGUUCUUAUUUGGCUCUCCUGAGGUUUCCAGUCCUCCUGUAUAAAAUCAGACAUUUGGGAGAGAUAACCUACAGAGAAGUGGGUGUGGUCUUCUCUUUUGGCCAGGUAAUAAUGGAUGUCCAGAAUCAGUACUGUCACACAAGAAGGGAGCAGCUGGUGAACACUUGGAGCUCUGGUUGGAAGCACGUUUCUGCUGAGCUCCUUUUUGUCCAGGACUACAAGCUAGAACUUCUUAUGCCGGAACUUUUUCUGGGUGAUAGUAACAGUGAAUUUCAUUGUCUCUUGGCGGCAUCUAGACUCACCUUGUGUCCUGUUUCGUCUUAAUUGUCUUCACUCAGUCUAGAGUCACUGGAGAGCAAAGCGUUGAUUGAGAAUUGCAGAGAGAUUAGAUACAAUGUUACCAUCUGCCUCCACGCCCCACCACACCUCCGUGGUGAUGGACUGGCUGUAUCCUCAUGUCAUCUGUUUUUCCGACACGGAUAUUGUAUUUGAGCGGUGCGAAUAGUGUGAAUGGUGUGCCAAGGUGGUGGCUAACACUUAGAAAUGGCCAUGGCUGGGAGCGGAGUAUCAGUCUUACCACAGAAACCCACGAACACUGCAAGCAUCAGUCCUUCCAUUUCCCCAGGCUGCUGGUUUAAUGUUCGCUAUCACACCAUUAGCUAAGAUGGCGCAUGCCAUCCCUGCGAGUCUCUGAAGAAAACCUCCCUUUGCUCGACAACAGAGAAACGCACACUCAUCAUCUCAGCGUUUCAGUCAGUGCGACUGACCCACAGCCUACGACGGCAGCCGCGGACUCGGCCCUCUGCUCUGGUUCCUUCACCAAAAAUAAAAUAAGUGACUCCAAGUGCUUGGCCGGUAGCCAAGGACCUCUCAGGUUCAAUUCUUCAUCUUCUGCUUUCGAGAGUUAAUUACAGAGAGGGGGCAUGCUAAGCAAGAGCUCUUUGUGUUCACAGUGAAAUAAUGACUUAGUCCCCCCUGAGACUACAGAGGCUCUGGACUUCAGCUCUGCACAGCAAGCACAAAUCCCAACCUGAUAGCAUGUGACUUUCUUUUUCAAAUGAAUCAGACUUUAUGAAUAGACAGCGUCUUUUCCUCCCCUCACCCUCUAGCCCGACCGUACCGAUUAGCGUAUUUUCUGCUUUUCUAGUUGAGUUGACUCACCAGACCCUUUAAGAGCCUGCUAGCUUGUGUGCUUCCUCCUGACAGGAUGCGCGGUUCCCUGUCUGCACACUUGCUGAUUGUAUAGCAUACCUUUGCCACUGUUGUUUUUUGUUAUUGUUGCUGUUGUUGUUUUGAUUCAAUAAAGUUUUAUUUUCCCAAAUGCA
Molecule: long non-coding RNA, 1937 nt
Organism: Mus musculus (house mouse)
Lineage: Eukaryota; Metazoa; Chordata; Mammalia; Rodentia; Muridae
Product: predicted gene, 26725
Exons: 3
Source: RefSeq, a predicted model, not a curated record